UGGGGAAUAUUGGACAAUGGACGAAAGUCUGAUCCAGCAACGCCGCGUGGAUGAUGAAGGCCUUAGGGUUGUAAAGUCCUUUUGUUAGGGAAGAUAAUGACGGUACCUAAAGAAUAAGCACCGGCUAACUUCGUGCCAGCAGCCGCGGUAAUACGAAGGGUGCUAGCGUUACUCGGAUUUAUUGGGCGUAAAGCAUGCGUAGGCGGGCUUGUAAGUUGGUAGUGAAAUCCCUGGGCUCAACCUAGGAAUUGCUAUCAAUACUGCAGGCCUUGAAUUCGGUAGUGAGUAGGGGAAUUCCUGGUGUAGGGGUAAAAUCCGUAGAUAUCAGGAGGAAGACCGGAAGCGAAAGCGCUUACUUGGGCCGAUAUUGACGCUGAGGCAUGAAAGCGUGGGGAGCAAACAGG
Molecule: ribosomal RNA, 404 nt
Filed under: uncultured bacterium
Lineage: Bacteria
Description: bacterial SSU rRNA
Rfam family: Bacterial small subunit ribosomal RNA
Source: RNAcentral